UCGUGACAGAAAUGGUGGAGGCGCCGGGUAGGUUCUAUUUCUGGAGAGAGAGAGAGGUAGAUUUUUAUGUUUAUUAUUAAGUUAGUUUCAGCUUCUGAUAGCAGGUUAUUAAGAGUUUACUUGAGGAGAGGAUUACGGAAUUUUAGUCUAUAGUGGAGGAAGUCUUUGAGAUUUUUUUUUUGACGUAACAGAUGUUUAUUUGAGGAUACUUGUAAGGAUAAAGUUUAUAGUGAUAAGUUGUUUUAAGUCGUUGAAUUUAUUGUAGAUUUAUAUCGGGGAUUAUUACGUGAGGAGAAUACGUUAUAAGUUAAAUGCUUAUUAGAGAUAAUGCAAGUGGUUUAAUUUAAUUGAAGUUCAUUUUAAGAUUGUAGGUUAAGAGAAUUAUAAUUUAAAAUAAAGUUUUUUGUCGUAAAUAGGAAUUAUUUUCAAGUGAAGUUUGUUUUGUUUUCGUGCGCGUAGGAGACGAGACGUACGAAUUAAAUCAGUCGAGGGAAGGAUAAACGUUAGAAAGGAAUUAAAGAGAAAACGAGAGUUUAUGUAAAAGAGAGUUAUAGAAUUUAUAGUGAUGUUUUGUUUUAAUUAGAAAAAUGUUGAGAGUUGUUUCAGAACGACACGUCAGUGGACGUGGCAGAGUGAACACGUGACGGGGAGGUGCUGAGACCUAGCGGAGAACGGAGGAACCGCAAGCGAGGGUUGGCGCACCUGAUGGAAUUCGGUGACGUCACGGGCUCAUACGGAGACGUGGACAGGCCGUGACCUUGUUUUGAUCAGCUGUACGGUAACUUAGCGAUAAGAAAAUAGACUAUUGGUUAAAUAAAUUUAAAUUUAAGUGUGUUUUAGAAGAAGAGGAACUUUCAGUAUAUUCCUUAAGAUGAGCUGAGCAGCAGUCCAGUUUACAAGAUGACAAGAGUUCGAGAGACAAGAUACAAGAUCACUGAAACAAGAGCCAAGACUGAAGAUUCAAGAGAAGAGAAAGCUGGCAGCCAUGGACUUACAAGUGGAGAUUAAUAAGGUCAUGUAAAGUUUUAUUUUUUUUAUGGAAGACAGUAACUGGAGUUUUUUUUUUGUUAUAAACAUUAUUUACAGAACUUUUUAGGUUAUAGUAAUGUAAUGGAACUAGUGAGUUGUGGUAGCUGUCAAAAAGAACUAAUACCUUAAGUUUAAUUUUUAAAGUUAAUUUUCUUAAUUUACAGAGGGAUUAGUAGUUUUUUUAAACCUUAUUUAGGUUGGAAUUUAAAUACAAUAGCUUAUUAUAAAUGUGUACGAACAGUUCAAGUUCACAGUACUGAUAGGUAGGUCAGAUGAUCUUAUUGAUUUUGAUGAUUUGUUGUUUUGAGUUGAUUUUUAAGUGUUGUGAAUUAGACAAUGAAAUAGUUCUGAAAACUUAAAUUAUUUCAAGCUAAGAAAUAGUAAAGUUAAUUGUAACUCAAAGGACACCAGAAUUUAAUUUUUUUUUGAAUUAGUAAUGUUUGAAAAUUUUAUACUUUACAAAAAAAGGUUAUAAACAAACAGAUCGGAUGGAACAAGGAUGCAGUAAAUCACAAUUUCAUUUAGAAUUAUUGAUUAGCUUUUGAGGUUAUGAAGUAAAAGUAAUUAUAGUUUAAAAGUUUGAAUAAAAAAAAAUGUUUUUUUUUAUUUGUUUGAAAUAGAAAGUUUAAAAGUUAAUUAGUCAUGAUCUAGGUGGGUGAUGGGGUGGGAAUUGGCCACUCUUUUUCCCUAUAACCUCCCUAACAUGGCCUUCUAUUACAACUAACAGAAAUAAAGAAGAAGAAAAAUGAAGAAUUAUUAGUUAGAAUGUUUCUUUCAUGAAGAUACCUGAUGAACUUUUACUGUUUGGAAGAAUAGAAGCAAGGUUAGUCAGAUAUUUUUACUCAGAAGAAGAAGAAGAUAAAGCAGUUUUAUGACUCGACAAGCCAGAGAUUGGUGUUUCCCCUCUGCGCUUCUAUUGACUACGUUGUUUACUCUCAUGGGAUAGCUGGUUCGGCACCAUGGAGAGAGAUUGGUGGGCAUUGUGGUUGCCCCCAGAAGAAAAGAAGAGUAGAAGAGGUUAUGGGUGGGUCAUGUGAACUGACCUUCAACCCAGUUACUUCGUGGGGACUAUUUGCUGUAUAGAGAAGAUCAAGACUCAAGAGGUAGGGAAAAUCAUUGGAGGUCAUGUUUCCCUUCCUUAAGUUUUUCCUAUCAAAUUAUUUGCCUGAUUAGAUUAUGCUAAGGGUGGGAUACUUUAUGUUAGCAGUUGAAUUAAUUAAUUUUAUUUUUUUGUGUGUUUGCAUCCUUGCCCAUCGAUUGCAGUUUAGUAGUUAGUUUUGUAUUUGUCAGGCGUGAUGGUAAUGCCUGUUGAUGAUGUUUCAGAAUUGUAAUCUGUUCGUGAUGAGGAUGGCACAACUCCGAAGCAGAUGUGGGGAGAAGUUGUGAGCUGCCCUGGAAGCCAGUCCAGUAGCUGUUGGAGUUGAGUGGUGUUUGCUGAUGGCCAGCCCAGGGAGCUACUCUUCUCGACAACACUGACUUCGAGGAGUUGCACCAACCUUCACGAGAUAAGAGUUUAAUUAAUUGAAACACUGUAAGGACACUUAAUUUUUUUUGAAGAACGAAAGAAGUAUGGUAAUAAACGGAAACCGAAAAAAAAAAAAUAAUAAUAAUUAUCAAGAAUUUGCACAUUGUUUAACGAAUACUGAGAAACUAAGAACAGUAAUUUAAUUUGUAAAGAGAGCUUCACUAACAGAACAAUUUUUUUAGAAUUGAGAACUCGAGCCUCUGAAGGUUCCUGUGAGAACAAACCAGAUAAAAGUUUUACAUUUAAUUUUAUGAAUACUUGUUGUUUUAAAAUAAAUCUUAUGCAGAAUCUAGAUGUAUGUUCAGACAGCAAGGAACUAAGAAAAUUAUUAUUUUUGUGAAAUGAGGAAUUUAUAGUUAUGGUUUAAUGGAAAAAGACAAUUUGUAAUUUUGAGGUAGCUCGAUGGGGCUCGAGCUCUGUGAGGGGAGGGUUAUGUCGCGGGUUGAAAUUUUGCAGGGUUGUUGAAAUCAAAUUUAGGGACUUUACUGACGGGACUCUGGGCUGGCUGCUCUGUUCACUCGUCAGCGCAAGUGGCGUGACCAUGUAAUUGGGGCACGGAGCCGGCGCGGCGCGCUGCGGGCUUGCAGAAUUUUGUUUGUUUGUUUGGCCGCGCGCUGGCGCAGCCACUGGCCGCAGUUACUGGGGCGCGCUGUCGUAACAAGCCGCGCGGUGUGGCCUGCACAUUGGGGUAGAGGGGGGGUAGUCUUCCCAGAUGUUCUAGUUAGUUGUUUAGUAAAUUUGACUUCAAUAACGAGCUUUUGUUAUGCUAGGCGCGGCAGGGCGCGCGAAUUUAAGCGCAAGUGAUUGGUGACUCGGGGCUCACUCAGGCGGAGGCUAUGCGUCUCACCUGUGGUCACGAGUUGUUAGUUCGUUCGUGAUGUAGGAAUUCAAGCUUACUCAGGCGGAGGCUAUGCGUCUCACCUGUGGUCACGAGUUGUUAGUUCGUUCGUGAUGUAGGAAUUCAAGCUUUCGGGCGGAAGCUAUGGUCGACGCCAGAGGCCACGAGUCGUUUAAUUUAAGUUAGGUCAUAAUGUAGUCGUCAAGCUUUCGGGCGGAGGCUAUGGCCCUCGUCAGGGGUCACGCGUCAUAGUUUUUAAAAUGUAAUGUUCGUUCGGGAUUUCAAGGGCAGGAGAGGCCCCUACGUUAUUUUUUUAAAGUAAUCGAUCAAGAAAGGCUUUUCGGAAAAUGUGAGUAUGGACUUAUCUUUGUUUUAAUUUUAAGUAUUAAUUAUGAUUUGAGGUAUUCGGAAGGACUAGGGAAGUGUUUAGUGAAGUUCUCUCAUUCUCUCUCUUGUAAGGUCGUUCAAUCGUUAAGGAAGUAAAGAGAUUAUUGUUUUAAAUUGUAA
This is a long non-coding RNA of Bacillus rossius redtenbacheri, 3899 nucleotides long. RefSeq lists it as uncharacterized. The record is from RefSeq and is a predicted model, not a curated record. NCBI's taxonomy places the organism in Eukaryota, Metazoa, Arthropoda, Insecta, Phasmatodea, Bacillidae. The transcript has 2 exons.